GAGGAAUAUUGGUCAAUGGGCGCGAGCCUGAACCAGCCAAGUAGCGUGAAGGAUGAAGGUCCUAUGGAUUGUAAACUUCUUUUAUAGCAGAAUAAAGUGACACACGUGUGGGUUUUUGUAUGUAUGCUAUGAAUAAGGAUCGGCUAACUCCGUGCCAGCAGCCGCGGUAAUACGGAGGAUCCGAGCGUUAUCCGGAUUUCUUGGGUUUAAAGGGUGCGUAGGCGGAAAGAUAAGUCAGCCUGUGAAAGUUUGCGGCUCAACCGUAAAAUUGCAGUUGAUACUGUUUGUCUGGAGUGUACAUAAGGUCGGCGCAAUUCGUGGUGUAGCGGUGAAAUGCUUAGAGAUCACGAAGAACUCCGAUUGCGAAGGCAGCUUACCGGGGUACAACUGACGCUGAUGCACGAAAGUGUGGGUAUCAAACA
This 422-nucleotide ribosomal RNA is filed under the name uncultured bacterium. Its description in RNAcentral is "bacterial SSU rRNA". It matches the Rfam family "Bacterial small subunit ribosomal RNA", at positions 356 to 774 of the family's 1533-position model. The record is from RNAcentral.